AGCGAACGCUGGCGGCAUGCCUAACACAUGCAAGUCGCACGGGGGGGCUUCGGCCUCCCAGUGGCGGACGGGUAAGGAACGCGUAGGGACCUGUCGAGGGGUGGGGGAUAACCGCGGGAAACUGCGGCUAAUACCGCAUGACGCCGCGGCGUGACAGCCGGGGCCAAAGGCGAAAGCCGCCCGCCGAGGGGCCUGCGUCCGAUUAGCUGGUUGGCGGGGUAGCGGCCCACCAAGGCGUCGAUCGGUAGCUGGUCUGAGAGGGUGAUCAGCCACACCGGGACUGAGACACGGCCCGGACUCCUACGGGAGGCAGCAGUGGGGAAUAUUGGACAAUGGGCGCAAGCCUGAUCCAGCAAUGCCGCGUGGGUGAAGAAGGUCUUCGGAUUGUAAAGCCCUUUCGGCGGGGACGAUGGUGACGGUACCCGCAGAAGAAGCCCCGGCUAACUUCGUG
This 451-nucleotide ribosomal RNA is filed under the name uncultured bacterium. RNAcentral describes it as "partial 16S ribosomal RNA". It matches the Rfam family "Bacterial small subunit ribosomal RNA", at positions 28 to 507 of the family's 1533-position model. The record is from RNAcentral.